UACCCGCGGCUCGAGUGGUGCUCAUUAUUAUUGAGCCUAAAACGUUCGUAGCCGGUUUGGUAAAUUCUUGGGUAAAUAGAAUAGCUUAACUAUUCUAAUUCCGAGGAGACUGCUAAACUUGGGACUGGGAGAGGUGAAAUGUACUUUCGGGGUAGGGGUAAAAUCCUGUAAUCCUGAAAGGACAACCAGUGGCGAAGGCGUUUCACUAGAACAGAUCCGACGGUGAGGAACUAAGCCCUAGGGCGCAAACGGG
Molecule: ribosomal RNA, 253 nt
Filed under: uncultured organism
Description: partial 16S ribosomal RNA
Rfam family: Archaeal small subunit ribosomal RNA
Source: RNAcentral